Molecule: ribosomal RNA, 228 nt
Filed under: Triticum aestivum (bread wheat)
Lineage: Eukaryota; Viridiplantae; Streptophyta; Magnoliopsida; Poales; Poaceae
Description: partial small subunit ribosomal RNA
Source: RNAcentral
AUGGAUCGGUCCAUGAAGGUCUUUGUGGUCGUCUUCCUGCUUCUUGUGGCCACAGGGUUCCAGGGAGCAGUGCAGGUAGCUUUGGCGAGGGAUUGUAGGUCACAGAGCAAAACGUUUGUGGGGCUGUGCGUGAGCGACACCAACUGUGCAAGUGUUUGCCUGACCGAGCAUUUCCCCGGAGGCAAGUGCGACGGCUAUCGGCGAUGUUUCUGCACCAAGGACUGCUAG